UGAUAGCUCAGUUGGUUAGAGUGUGGUGCUGAUAACACCAAAGUUUCAGGUUUGAUCCCUGCAUGGGACAG
This 71-nucleotide transfer RNA is filed under the name Podarcis lilfordi (Lilford's wall lizard). Its description in RNAcentral is "tRNA.Ile". The stretch from base 4 to 62 matches the Rfam family "tRNA", at positions 8 to 63 of the family's 71-position model. From Rfam's summary of the family: Transfer RNA (tRNA) molecules are approximately 80 nucleotides in length. Lineage: Eukaryota; Metazoa; Chordata; Lepidosauria; Squamata; Lacertidae. The record is from RNAcentral.